UACGUAGGGGGCGAGCGUUGUCCGGAGUUACUGGGCGUAAAGCGCACGCAGGCGGUCCUCUGCGUAGAGGGUGACAGUCCUCGGCUUAACUGAGGAAGCGCUCUUUAAACGGGGGGACUUGAGGGCCAGAGAGGGAGACGGAACUCCGGGUGGAGCGGUGAAAUGCGUAGAGAUCCGGAAGAACACCGAAGGCGAAGGCAGUCUCCUGGCUGGUUCCUGACGCUCAGGUGCGAAAGCGAGGGGAG
This 245-nucleotide ribosomal RNA is filed under the name uncultured bacterium. Its description in RNAcentral is "partial 16S ribosomal RNA". It matches the Rfam family "Bacterial small subunit ribosomal RNA", at positions 524 to 768 of the family's 1533-position model. The record is from RNAcentral.